GUGCCAGCCGCCGCGGUAAUACGGGGGGGACUAGUGUUAUUCGGAAUGACUGGGCGUAAAGGGUGUGUAGGCGGUCUUGUAAGUUGAAAGUGAAAUCUCAAAGCUUAACUUUGAAAGUGCUUUCAAAACUGCUCGACUAGAGUGUGAGAGAGGAUAGUGGAAUUUCUAGUGUAGAAAUAAAAUCCAUAGAGAUUAGAAGGAACACCGAAAGCGAAGGCAACUAUCUGGCUCAAAACUGACGCUGAUACACGAAAGCAUGGGGAGCAAACAGGAUUAGAUACCCUGGUAGUCC
RNAcentral lists this ribosomal RNA (292 nucleotides) under uncultured bacterium. Its description in RNAcentral is "partial 16S ribosomal RNA". It matches the Rfam family "Bacterial small subunit ribosomal RNA", at positions 505 to 796 of the family's 1533-position model. The record is from RNAcentral.